GUAAAAAAGGUUUGUAAAAGUCGCUUUGGAUAAAAGCGUCUGCUAAAUGACUAAAU
Danio rerio (zebrafish) is the source of this 56-nucleotide non-coding RNA. Lineage: Eukaryota; Metazoa; Chordata; Actinopteri; Cypriniformes; Danionidae. The record is from Rfam.